RNAcentral lists this ribosomal RNA (466 nucleotides) under uncultured bacterium. Its description in RNAcentral is "partial 16S ribosomal RNA". It matches the Rfam family "Bacterial small subunit ribosomal RNA", at positions 28 to 507 of the family's 1533-position model. The record is from RNAcentral.
GACGAACGCUGGCGGCGCGCCUAACACAUGCAAGUCGAACGAGCGAGAGAGAGCUUGCUUUCUCAAGCGAGUGGCGAACGGGUGAGUAACGCGUGAGGAACCUGCCUCAAAGAGGGGGACAACAGUUGGAAACGACUGCUAAUACCGCAUAAGCCCACAGGUCGGCAUCGACCGGAGGGAAAAGGAGCAAUCCGCUUUGAGAUGGCCUCGCGUCCGAUUAGCUAGUUGGUGAGGUAACGGCCCACCAAGGCAACGAUCGGUAGCCGGACUGAGAGGCUGAACGGCCACAUUGGGACUGAGACACGGCCCAGACUCCUACGGGAGGCAGCAGUGGGGAAUAUUGCACAAUGGGGGAAACCCUGAUGCAGCGACGCCGCGUGGAGGAAGAAGGUCUUCGGAUUGUAAACUCCUGUUGUUGAGGAAGAUAAUGACGGUACUCAACAAGGAAGUGACGGCUAACUACGUG